RNAcentral lists this small RNA (12119 nucleotides) under Pyricularia oryzae. Its description in RNAcentral is "Magnaporthe oryzae sRNA M_BR32_EuGene_00030811". Lineage: Eukaryota; Fungi; Ascomycota; Sordariomycetes; Magnaporthales; Pyriculariaceae. The record is from RNAcentral.
AAUUUUAAUUAAUAAAAAAACCGGACAAAUCCAAAAAGAUUUGGGUUAUACAAAUAAUUUUGGCCGCGAAAAACCGCAAGAAAAUAAAACCGCCGUUAAAUAUUAAUAAAAUAAAAGAAUUAUAAUAAUUUUAUGUGGGAAUUGUUGGAAUUUAUUAUUUCAAACGCGUUUGAAAUUUGUUAAACAAAACGCCCGUCUUAAUAAUAAACCAAUUUCCAAAUAUUGACGAUUAGUUACGGUUAUUAUUCCAAAGAAUCUUUAUAAUUAUAAAUAAGGAAAGGGGGGUUUUUCCGCGUACCGACGGCGGCGUAACGCAAAGUUAUUCCGCGUUUUAUAUUUAUAUAUUCUAAUAACGGGAUUAAUAAAUAAAAUAAUUACGCGCGACCAAAUAUAAUAAAUAUAUUAGGGUUCUGGGGCCGGUUGAAUUUUACGAAAACAAAAGAUUUUAAUUAAACAAAAUUGCUAUAUAAAUAAACUAACCCCCGCGUACCGGCGGGGAUAAUAUAUAAAAAUAAACCAAUAAAAUAAAAAUAAACGACGGGGUAAUUAUAAACGGCGAUAAAUAUUUAUUAUUUAUAUUAUUUAUAUUAUUACGGGUCCAAUUUAUAAGAUUGUAAAUAUUUACAACCGUCUUUAUAUUAAAUAAAAUAUUGGGGUGCGGCGGUAAAAUAUAAAAACGCGGCGGCGAAAUAUUGGGGCGCGACGGCGUAAUAUUAAAUAACGCCGUAUUAGGUGGGGGGGGGGGGGAGUAAUAUAUUAAACGGUAACGACGGAUUGCGUAACGAAAGUUUAUUAGGAACGGAGGCGCGUAUUUUGGCGAAAGUAAUAAAAAUGGAGGAAGACGGGGUUUCCGGGCAGGUUUUUGGGUAAUAGGAAAAGAAAACGCAAAAGAAUUAUAAGGUAAUUAGUUAAAACGUUUAUAAAAACCAGGCCCGUUACGGGAAAUGAAAGUACAAAUACUGCUAAAAAUGACGUAUUUGAACCUAAUAAAAUAAUAAAAGGAAACGUUGUAAACACCCAAACGUUAAUUGAAAAAACGUAAAUAAAUAAUAUAUUAAACGGGGUUCGGAAAAUAUAUAGGCGGAAAUAGCGAAAAUAAGGAAAAGCAGUAUUAAUUUUGUAUUGGAUAAUAGCGGAUUCGCGUUAAAUUUCCAACAAUUAUUAAUAACGUUUGUUAUUACGUUUUUAAUAAGAUCAAUUGAUAUUUAUCCGGGUUACGGGCCGGAAAGGAUUAGGUAUUUAUAUUUGUAUAUUUGAAAUUUUGGGCGAAUUUGAAAAAGAAUUACUGGGCGGUUUUAUUACCGCCGUUAUAAUACACCAAAAAUAAAACGUUAAAACCACCAAAACCCAAAAUCGCACCAAAAACCUCCUCGUCCCGGAACUAAUUAUAUAUAUAUAUAAUAUAAAUAGAUUUGAAUUCGAACGUUAUUUUGCAAUUAUACCCCGAUUUAAUAAUUUUAUUAUUAACGUUACAUAUCGCCAAUAUUUUGGAAAUAAUUAUAUAACGUCCGCCAAUUAUAAUAUGGUAUAAGUUAUUUAAUUGACGACGCAAAAGCAAAUUCCCAAUAUAUAUUUUUUCGGUAUAAUUAUAAAACUUCUUUUUAUUUUCACUGCACUAAUCGUAAACCACUCUGUUUAUAUCAGGGCGGUAAUCCAAUAUGUUAAUAAUUUCGGGAAAUUUAAUAUAAAAGAAUAGGACGGAAUACGUUAUUUAAACGCGGUAUAUUUUUCGUCGUCGGAAUUAUUUUUAAAUUUAUUUAAACCGGCGGUACGACAAAUACGUUAUAGCUACCGUUGAUAAAAAAAAGCGUCUAGGAGAACGCCGAAUUAAUUUACCGCAAAGGUUUUGGAAUUAUUACCACCAAUAAUAACGGUAUUACGAUUAAUAAGAAACCAAAUUAGCUAAUAUAAUAAUGGCGGGAAAAAGGAGCGUUUCAACCGGAUUAAACGGAUUACGGUUUAAAUUAAAUGAAAAUAUUAUAACGAAAAAAACAAAACGAAAAAUAAACAAAAUCUGGGCGCAAAGAAAUGGUUAAAAAAUAGAAACGCGGCGAAAAUAAAAGCGGAAAAAUAAUUACGCAAACGAUAAAAACAAAUUAUAAAAGAAAAAAUAAUUUUGUGGGAAAUAAGGGCGAGUACGACAGAAAUAUAAAAGAUAGGGUUUUUCUUACCGGUCCGCAAUAAAACCGCAGGCGGGAAAACGACGUAACGGGGCAAAUAAAAAUAAAAUACAAACGAAAUAAAAAUAAAAAUAAAAAUAAAAACAAGGAAAAUUAGUGGGAAAAAAUCUAAUAAUGCAACGCAUUUUCCUAACCCAGGGGAAAAAACGACGAAUGUAAUAAAAACAACAUCGCCCGGUAAUAUAUAAUAAUUAUAUCGGUUAUAACGAGUAUAAAAUACGAGAUUAUUUCCAAACCGGUAAUAUAUAAGUACAGAAGCAAAACAAAUACGCGGGUGCAAUUACGCCGCCGCGAAAUUUAUAUUAUACCCCCGGGAAAAUAACGGGGCAAUUUACGCAACCCCCCUCCGCGAACUAAACUGUAGCCAAAUUACUCCACGUUUUGGCCAAUUAGCUUUUCUUUGCAAUAUUAUAACAAUGUGCUUUCGUUUACCAAAUUUGUUUUAUAAUAAAACAGCAAGGGAGUUUUUCGGCUGUAAAAAACCAAUUUUAUUUUUUUUAUUUAAUUAGGUAAAACUUACAGAAAAGUACCAGUGUUACCGAUAAACUACUGUUAUUAUUUAUAAUUUACACCAAAUAUAAUAUAGCAAAUUUAACCAAGGAAUAAGCCGAAUAACAUUUUCCUAAUAAUAUUAUACUUUACCCUGAAAGUUCCUGUUAUUAAUCGAAUCUUACAACUAUUUAAUAGAAAUAAGGAAUAAAUAAAGUUUAAUAGGAGAAUAAUAACUAAUUAACCCAAUACCAAAUUUAAAAAUACUGAAAUUAAAAUAAAAAAACAAAAGAAUCCCAAUAUUAAAUAUUAUUAUUUACACUUUAAAAUGUAAAAACUGUAAUUAUAAUAAUACUGGUAAUAUCUUUUUACCGGGACCGCGUUUUUUUACAAAUACUCCAAAAUUAUACAAAAUCAAAAUUCUAUUAUUAAACAGUUAUAGAAUGUUAAAAACCUGGUUUGCGCAGGCGUUAAAUAUACUUCCUAGCGCGAAAAUAUAAUUUUCGAAAUAAAUAAUACCCGAUUUAAUAGAAACCGGCGAAAGAUUGAAAGAAAUAAAAUAUUAUUUUAGAAAAUAUAAUUAAUAACCUAAAAAUUAUAAUAACUGGCUAUACAAAUUAAAAGCAAAUUUUGUAAAAAUACUAGCCAAAUUACUUAUACGAAAUAAUAUUGUCAAUAAUUAUAAUCCUUACACGGGUUUACGGGUAAGCCCUAGGUGCAAUAUAAUUAAAAGCCAGUGUUAGAAACGCUGAAAUAAUAGUGGGAAUGCCUUAUAAAUUAGAUAUUUAACAAUGUUAUAUUGGUUGGGGAUAUUCUGUUUUAUUUCCUUAUAUACCCUCCGAUAUUAAAAUGGGGUUGGAAAAAGUCUCCGUACUGUAAAUAAAUUUCCGAAAAGCUAAAUUAUAUGGGGUUUUGAAAAGAAUAUUCUUACUUGCUAAUAAAUAGUUUUUUGGGUUGUAUAUAAAAAUAAAAGCUGCGACCCGGUAUAGGGUAAUUGUUUCGCAAAUGCAAAGUGGUUAUUAAACCCGGUAUAGGAUAAUUAACUCCAUUUGCUAACUUAUUAAUCGCAAUACCCGUAAUUACAAAAUUACCAAAUAAUCUAACAAUUAUAUUUUAGCGUUAUAUAUUAUAAAUUAUACUUAACUAGAGUAAGUUUAUUAUAUGCAGAAUAGUAUUUAUAAAUACCAGGUUUUCCACUAUUUAAUUGGAAAUAGAAUCGGAAAGGAAGAUUAUAUAAAAUAAAUUAUUCCCAGUAGAAGAAAAACUUCCUUAUAUAUUCCAACCCAAUCUGAGCCGCCGAUUAAACCCCCUGGAUAAUUAAACCUUUUAUAUUAGAUUUUUCAAUUGAAUUAAGCCCAGACUUGAAUUUUAUGCUCGAAAAUUGUAACAACUGUUAAGUUCAAGCCCACAAUAUACAAAUUAUAGCCCACUUGAUUAGUUAUUAAACCAAAUAAUUAAUUUGGUUAUACAGUAUUACAAAUUCUAAAGAAAAUGUAAUUUAUAUGGUAUUUCAAAGUGGUAAAUCGCCCAAAACGAGUAUUGUUUAAAUUUGGAUUAAGUUUUGAAUAUCGCGUCGGUAUUAAUUAUUUAUUAAUUAAUUAUAUAAAUUAGGUUUAAACAAGACGUUUGUUACUGGGUUACCAAAGUCCAAAAAUUCCAAGUAAAAACAAAUAAUAGUAGAGAAUUAACAAAUUAACUGGAUAUUCUAAUAUUUAAUAAAUAAAGUUUAAUUAUUAAAAUUUCAACCUUAUAAAUUUCAGGAAAACUUGGUAAAUUGGAAGCGUUGGGGGUUUUGUAAGACUAUUAAGGGGUUAUUUGUUCAAAUUCCAAAUAUUUUAAAUCUUUAUAAUUUGCUUAUAACUAAUUCCCGUAUAUUACAAAAUUUUAAAAGCAUAUAUUUAAUAUAUUAAUAGUGCGUAAAACUAUAUAUAUUAAUUAUAAACCCUAUAUUAUUUUUAAAUAUUGUAACAAAACCUUUUAUAAAUAGUCCAGGUUUUAUAAAUAGGUUUUUAAACCAUUAUAUUUUACGCAGGGUUUCCGUUAAACUAUUGUUUUCGGUCUUUGUAAUAUUAAAAUUACAAUAUUAAUUAUUUUGAGUUUUUACGUUAUAAAACGCCCAAAUAAAAUAUACAAAUUUUAGCAAAUAAAUAUUAAAUUUUCCCUAAUUUUAGCAAAAUUGCUGUUAUUAAAACCAAAUAAUUGUGGAUUUUUAUAACUACCAAUUAACCAAUAAGGUGGUUAUCUGGCUUUGAUUACCUUAUUUCCGUAACAAAUUGCUUAAAGUUAAAUACUUGUUUAACAAAUAUAUAGGUUUUUCAUCACAAUUAAAUAAAUUAUAUUAAUUUAUAUUAAUAAUCAAAAUAAUUAUCAAAGCGUUAAAUUAAUCCCGUCGUGUUAGUAAUAAUAAAUAUAUUAAAAAGCUGAUAAUAUGUUAUAAUAAUAUAAUUUCCACUGUAUUUAUAUAUUUACCGCCGUUAAACUUUAAUAUAUUUAGCUAUAAGAAAUUUACAAAUUAAUUAAUUUAAACGUUACUAAUAUAUUCUGUAUAUUUUUAUUUUAACGGAAGUGAAAUAUAUGUUAAAAUUUAUUUAUUAUAAUUUAAACGUUGAGAUAGUAAAUUGCAGGGCCCACAUUUUUAAAUGCGUAUAUUUUGUGGGAAGGGGUUUUUAAAUUGUAAAUAUAUUGCAAUCUGAGACCGAUCAGCAGCUAACUUAUAGUAAAAAUAAUAAUAGAAUAUUUGGAUUUAAUAUUAUAAAAAACGGCGGUAUUAGAAAUUAAUAGUUUAAAGGUUUUGUAAAAAAUAGGUUCUUUAAUUUUAUUUACUAUUUUUCAAGCAAUAUUUGAAACCGUAUAAUAUUCCUUCCGAUUAUAUAAUUGAACUUUUUUGCAAAUAAAUAUAUAUGUCGGUAAAAUUAUCUUGGUUUAUUUUUUAACUUUGUAUAUUAACUGUGAUUAAUAUUAUACGUUACGUAAACGGUAUAUUAAUAUUAGCAAAAGUUCUAAUAUAAUAUUGGGUUUUAACCUAUUAAAACCGCUCGCUGGCAAGCCUAAUUUUAUAUUUUAUAUAUCAACUCCAUUUACUCUUUUUAAAUUCAAACAACAAGCCGGUAAAUAUUGAUUUGCAGUCUGUAAACAUUUUAUUUUAAAAAUAAAAUUGAAAGUUUUUGCAAUAACAAUUUAUUUUAUUUUAAACGUUAGAAUUAAUACUUAUUUGUUAUUUUGGCAAUUGCUUAAACUUGUGGAAUAUAAUUUGGUUAGCCGUUUUUAAUGGGUUCUUUUAAUAUAUAAACAAAAAUGAUAAACGUAAUUAACUUCUAUUAGAUUUGGGUUUUGCAGCUGCAAAUUUAAUUCCAUAUUCUGUAUUUUUAAUACCGAAAAUACCCAGAGUUUCAUUUUUUAAAAUAAUAACUAAAAUAUAAUUACUAUUACAAAUUUUAAAAGGCAAACGGUAAAUUAUAUAAGUUUGGAAAAUAUUAUAUUAUAAGGAAUUAAACGUUUUAUAAAAGUAAUACAGAAGAUUUAUCGGCUAUAUUCAAAGUUUUGGCGUUAUAAACUUUAUUUUCAAAUUAAAUAUUAAAAUUCCCUUUUAUAUUUAAAUUUUCUUAUAUUAAGAACUAUAAUGCUUUUCGUAAAAAAACCAUAAUUUCAACGGAUAUAUUUUUAGAAAGAUUUACGGUUAGAAUUUUAUAAUCGGUCCGUUUCACAGGGCCGUUAACCAACGUUACAAAAUUAAAUAAAUGGGUUAAAUAUUUUAUUAUUUUUAUUCUGGGAACCAAUUUGUGCGAUUUUUGGCGCUUUUCUAACGGUAUAGUAAUUUGGUAUAUAAUAUUAAUAAUCCGAAAAUUGUUCAAAUUAGGUUUAUAUAUUAAUUUAUAUUAAACUUUUCAACGAAAUUCCCUGUAACAUAUUAAUACCGUACUAAUUACCACCAUGCCGCCAAUUAAAUUAAUUACGGCCAGUAAUAAAUAAUAUUGUAAAUAUAAUAGCAAACCUGCCGUUAUUAGGUAUUAUAAUAAUUUUAAAUUUAUCGGUUAUAAUUUUAACAGACCAUUUUCUUUAUUAAUUUUGGCCGUGGUUAUAAAAAUUAGAAACGUUAGAAACUAAUAUUUUUAUUUGCAAAUCAAUUCCAAACUUUGAAAUUAAUUUCGUACCCCCUAUAAUAAUAGAAAUUUAAUAGGGUAACGCGCGUAUAUAGUUUUUAAAGUUUUAAAUAGAAUUUAAUAAUUAUUAUAACCGUAGGUUUGUAUUUAUUUUAUAAAAAAAUCGACCAUUAAAACCGUAAUUGUUAAUCUAUAAAUACUUAAAAUAUAAGAGUUCAAUUAGAAGAAUUAGGUUUAAAUAUUAUUACAAUAUUCUUAAUAAAAUCGAAAAUAUUAAAGGGUGUAGAAAUGUUGUUUUAUUUGUACGCCUAGCAAGAGUGGUUUCAAGGCAAACAAUGCAUUUUAUAACCCUAACUUUGCUAUAAUAAGGUAAACUGCUUGUAUUUUUAACGCUUUUCUCUUAAAAUAAUAGCAACUUUAUAUAUUUUAAACGCCUAUAUUUUAAUAGGAUUUCCUAAGUUUGGAUUUCGCUGUAAACCUUUGUAAUUCUAUUCCUUGUAAUAUUUUCUUAAUUAUUAGUAAAUCAAAUAAAAUUAAAAUUAAAAUAGUCUACAGGAGCUUGCAUUAAGUCCAGUAAUUAUAAAGAUUUUGAUAAUAUAUUUUUUAUAACAGAAACCUUUUUUCCCGAAGUAACUUUUUUGAAUUUGGUUGCGCAAAAAGGUUCUUUAGCGGUUUAUUAAAUUUACGGGGUUUAAUUCUACGUAGAUUUACAGGAUUUAUUAUAUUUAAUUUCUUAUUAAAAGUAAAUCUACGAUUAUAUUUUUAUUUUAUACGAGAUUUAAUUUUUCCGUUUCCCCGUUUUUUUCCAGUUCCGUAUUAAUUGUAAUUUUAUAAUAUUUUUGGUUUUUACGGAUUAAAUUAUAUAAUCCUACCUCCGACGGGGUUGCGUGAUAUUUUAUAACCCCAUGUAAAAUUAGGUUAAAAACGGCAUUAUAUUUAUUAAAUAUAUACGCGUAACUCCAAACCGUAAUUGUAAAAUCUCAAAUAUAAAUAUCGCACAUUUUUACCACCAAAUAAAACAAACAUUUGGCGGUAUUUAAACUAUCCCACGUUGUGCAAUCCCUAUUAUAUAUGUAUUUUUUAAUAAUAUGCCCUUUAUAUUAUAGUAAAUAAACCCAUUGACAAUAUUUAGUCCAAACGAAAAAAUAUAAAAUAUGUUAUUUAACGUAAUAUUUUCAAAUUUAUCAGUUUCAAAGUUAUACCGGACCUGUAUUUAAAUUAUUCUUAAUAAUAAACCUAAUAAAACUAUUUCCGGUACCGAUUUCAACUGUUAAACUUUUGGUAUAAUUGGUAAAAGCUUAUUCUUUUGCAUAAUUUAAUACGUAUUAUUUAUAUUAUUCAAAACCGGGUAUUUUAAUUUUCUGGGUUAAAAAUCCCUAUUUACGCUGUUUCCAAAUUUCGUUUUAACCCCAAAAUUGGCUGUUAAUAUUUAUAAUUCCGGUAUUUUACCGGUAUAAUCGGGUUCCGAAUCCGAUUCCGAAUAUAAUUUUAUAGCCCCGUUAGUACCAGAAUUAACCUUUCUUUUAUAAUAUCCGGUAGGUUUAAAUACCGCCCGAACUAUUUAUUUGUUCCCGGGCGUUAAACGCUGCGGAUACGGUAAUAUUAUGUGGAAUUAACCCCGUUAAUAAUUUGAAAUUUAUUAAAAUUAUAAAGAUUUUAACGUUCGAUUUGUUAAAAUUGGGGGUUUUGGUAAUCUUUUGCAAAAGUAAAAGCCGAAUUGACUUUUUUAUUUUGUUUUCGUAUUUUGAAAAUGUUAUUUUACCCGUUACUUUCCUUUUUAACACUUGUUUCAGUAAUUGUUCUACCGUAUUUUCCACGUUUGACCUUAUAAUUAAUAAUUACAAAUAUUAUAAAAUUUAUAAUCGAGUUUUAAAGUAUAUAACUGGCCAUAAAAAAUUUCAAAUUUAACCUAUCCGAAUAAUAACUUAUAAUUUGCAAAAUCCGUUGGGUAUUAUAUUAGCGUUUGGUCCAAAUAGUGAAAACCCAUUCUAGCGCGGUAAAUGAUAAUUUCGAAUAUUAAUAAAACCAACUUUCAAAUUAAAAUAUACUAAUUUAAUUUCUAAAAAGUUAAAUCUGUUAUUAAAUUUUAACAUUACCUUAUUAAACUCCGAAAGACUUGGGCGGUUAAAUUCUAUUAUAACCUAUUUCGGUAAAUUUAAAAUAUAGCGGAAUAGUUAUUUUCUAGGGUUUUAUAUACCGGUAUAAAAUUAACAUACCAUAUAAUAGGUUUUAACGGAUUCUUAAUAAGGUUGUUUUUAUAUAUAAUAGUGAGAUUAAUUGUUAAUAAUCUUAUAAAUUAAACCAGUAUAGAAAUUAGAAAUAAAUGCCGCAGUUUUUAUACUUUUAAUUUGCAUUAAAAAUAAUAAUUUUCACUGGUCGAAAUUGCUCAGUUUUUUUAAUUUGCACCUUUUGGUGAAAGAAAUAACUCUUUCGAUAAUUUUUUACCUGUUUCCUCGACCAAAGUUAAAUUACCAAAUAGAUUAAAUAUUCUGGUAGCGUUAUCGGCGUUUGAACUUAUAAAUUGGCCUGUAAACUGUUCUAAUUAGAGGUAUUAAUACCUGUAUUAACUUUAAAAUCAAUAUCUUUACUACUUUUUAACCUUUACAAAGAUAAUAUUUAUUAGCUUACAUAUUGAAAUUAAUUUAUUUUCUGAAUUAAUUAAAGAUUAGUUGACGUAAAUAUUUUAAAACUAAUAUUAUAAUCUGGGAUCUUAUAUAAAUAGUUAUUUUCAACUAAUACAAAUUUAUAUUUGCCAAAGUAUAAAGUUUAUUAUUACUUUUUAUAGUUGAAUUAAUUGAGAAUAUAGGGUUGGAUAUUUUGAAAUCCAUAAUAAAAUAGGUACCCUGGUAUUUAUACCGGUUUAAAUACACGUAGCGAACGGAAUUUAAUUUAUUGAAUAAGUGCAGGGAAAAUCGGAAAAUACCUCGCAAAAUAAUAUAUAAUAUAACAAUUAAUCAAUUUGUAAGUUUCUAACGAGCAAAUCCAAGCGUUUAACCCUAAGUUGUCAACCUAAAGUUUAUUGAACGUAUUAAAAAUUUAAACAAAUUGCAAUAAUAAUAUACGAUAUACAAAAACCAUAACAAUGUUUUAGGAUUUAUAACUUUAGUAAAAGUUAUAAUAUUCAAAAGUUCGGCCUGAAAUAAAUAUUAAUUGAGCGACCCUUUAUUACAAGUAUAAAGAAGUAAAUACUAGCAAAAAUAUUUAUAAUUAAUAAUUUGUACAAGAACAGCAAUAUUUUGUUAAUAUAUAACAUUUAUAAAAGAAUCUAAAUGAAAAAUUCCCGCGGUCUUUAUUCUUUUUAUUCUUUAUAAUAAUAUUAAAUUCAAAUAAUAGCGCCGCGUCGGUAAAUAACUUUUUAACUCGUUACAUAUAUUCCAUUGCACGGUUUUUUAUUAGGAGGGCGUAAUUUUAUUAAGUAAUAUUAUUAAAAAUACCGUUUUAUUAAACUACCCGAAAAUAUAUAUAUAUAUGGUAAAAGUUGGCAAGUUUUUAAAAUAUUUUACAUUUUUCUAAUAAAUUAAUAUUUUCCAAUUAUUAAUAGUUGCUAAUUCUUUCAAUGUCCGGCCGGACCCCAACACUUAUUUCUAUAAUAAAAACCGAAUAUUUAAUAUUUCAUAGUAAAAACCUGUUUUUACUAGGUUGUAAUAUAAUAUAUAUUUAUUUAAUUUUUGUAAUAUUCCUUUUAUUUCUCUAAUAGAAUAAUUGCGGAAUCCGUUAUUAAAAAUACAUGUAUUAUAUACGUACUUUAUAUAUAUAAUAUCUAACAAAUUAAUUUAUAUAUAGUUUAAAUAUUUUUAUUAGGAAUUUGCCCGGGUUUUUAAUAGGCCUUACGGACUUACCAUUUAUUAAAGAAGUGAUUCUUGGUUUUGAAAAUUAAUUUAUUUCUAUAGGUUAUUUUAAUAUUAGUUUUGUUGAAAAUUAAAAUUACAUCCGCUUUAACAAUUUACUUGCAAUUUAAUAAAUUACGAAACAUCCCGUCCUAAUCUUGUCCAUUUACUAUAAAAGCAAAGAUUUGGUUUUUAAAAUUAUAUAUAAUAUUUUACGAUUCAUUCAAAAAUAAACCUGCGCCCUGGGCUUUUAGAAAAGGUCCCGGCAAACCAGCCGACAAAUUUAUAAGUUUAAUAAACCCUUUUUUAAUAUAUAAUCUACAGUUUUCCGUAAUAUUAAUAAUUGUGCCGCGUUAUAUUUUAUAAUAUAUUUUAUAAUAUGAGGUUCAUUUACCGCGUACGUACUUUCUGGUUUUAACCUUUUGAUUAAUAUUUAAAUUAUAAAGGUUUAAUUAUAUAUUUGUUCCAAACAAAUUAAUAAAUUUGUAAUAUAUUUUUAAUAUAUUUUGUUUAAAAGAAUUUGUAAAUUAAUUUAUUUCGCAAUAUAAAAUGCUUUCCACGUUUAUUAUUAUUAGUGUAUAAAAUAUAAUUUUAGCCGCAUAUUUAUUCAAUUUUUUAAAUACGGUUUAAUAAAUAUUAUUAGAUUUUGGUAUUAAUAUUCUUUAUAUAGUGAUAUAUUUCCACGUAUUAUGCAAUUAAUAGCGUAUUUAAAUUUGCGUUAACUUAAAUUUUAACAUUUGUAAUACUAAAUAUUUAAUGUAAGCAAAUAUAAGCAAUUAUUAUUUUUUAAAUGUAAUAUUUUUAAUUAAUCCCGGUAUAAUGCAAAUCCGUAUUUAUUUCUCAAACCGGUUAAGUUUUAUUUUUCUAUUCGUAAAUUAACAGGCAACGUACGGAUAUUAACGGUUCGAAUUACAAAUUAUAUACUCGGGCGUAUUUACCCACAUAAUAAACUUUAUUUGGAAUACGGUUAUAUUUUAUUUAUUAUAAUAUAAUAUUUAUAUUUCUACCAUCUAAUAUAUUAAAAUACAAUUUGCUAUUAAUUAUUAAUAUAAUAUAUAUAAUUGGUUUGCUAUUAUACGUUUUGAUAAACUUCAUUCCCGUACCUGCGGUUCCGGAUUACAUUUUAGCCCCGAAAUUAUUCUUGUUUCCAAGUUUUUUUCAAUUUGUACCGUUUAAUUAAUUAAUAUAAUAAUAAUUAAACGGAUGUUAAUUUUCUUUGGAAUAUUUGGUAAUUUUAAAAAAUAACUUUUAUUACCGUUUUAUAAAUAAAUAUUUAUAUUAUAAUUAAAAGUUUUACUUUAUCCGUCCAAAAUAUUCCUCCACUUUAAGUAAUAAUUUCCAAAAAAACACCUGUCUAUUUAAUAUAAAACCAGCAUUUUAUUUUACGUUUGCAUUUUGUAAGCGUUAUUAAAACCUAUAUAUAAAUGCAUAUUACGGAAAUAACGUGUCAAAUAAUUUGAAUUAAAAAGUCCAAUUAUUACUAAUUAAUAUUGUUAGUUUAUUAACGUCAUAUUAAAAAAUAA